This 253-nucleotide ribosomal RNA is filed under the name uncultured bacterium. RNAcentral's name for it is "partial 16S ribosomal RNA". It matches the Rfam family "Bacterial small subunit ribosomal RNA", at positions 524 to 776 of the family's 1533-position model. The record is from RNAcentral.
UACGUAGGGUCCGAGCGUUGUCCGGAAUUAUUGGGCGUAAAGAGCUCGUAGGCGGUUUGUCGCGUCGGGAGUGAAAACUCAGGGCUUAACCCUGAGCCUGCUUCCGAUACGGGCAGACUAGAGGUAUGCAGGGGAGAACGGAAUUCCUGGUGUAGCGGUGAAAUGCGCAGAUAUCAGGAGGAACACCGGUGGCGAAGGCGGUUCUCUGGGCAUUACCUGACGCUGAGGAGCGAAAGUGUGGGGAGCGAACAGG